UGCCUAAGGCAUUGUUCCAUUAUGAUGAGGAUGCGAUCGCAUACAUUUCUAGAGAGGAUGUGACGGAAUUUCUAACCGGUUCCAUGCUUAACAUUUCCAUCAUUCAAACUUUCAUGAGGUCACUACAGGAGCUCCUUGCUAGUAAACCCGAUGGUGAAGCAGCAGUUGGGUGGUUAUGCCCCGAGCAGACCUCCGUAACCAAAUGCUUGCAUAACCCUCGUGAUGUGAUAGAUUACCUUGAGCGGGGUAUUAGAGAAUCAAUGCGUGCGGGAAACAAGUUCUUAUUAGCCCCUUGUUUUGAGGAUCUACAUUGGAGCCUUAUGGUGAUUUGUGUUUCCAAUAACACAAUCUACUACUUUGACUCGGCUCGUAUAUGGCCACCAAGGAAGUUGCUAGUGAAUAACCUAUUGAAUAGGUACAUACCGCUUCCUAUAUAUUGUUUUGUAUCAUUACCUAAGUGAUUGAGUGGCUAUGUUCCUAAAUUGUUUGUUAUUUAUUUUUUUAAAGUGUUAUGAAGAAGUUGAAUUGUCGUUCGAUUGCGGGUCCCACGUGGAAAUAUGCGAAGGUAAAGCCUUGAUAUAUUGAUUUAUUUAAUAAAAUUGCCUUGAGUUAUGGCUAUGCAUGACUAUUUUAACUUUGUGUCAUGUUAGUAUGGGCAACAAGACAACAGCGUUGACUGUGCCCUCCACGUGAUGAGGUUUAUGCAUGACAUAGUCAAUAGGUGCACUGAAGCCCAACACAUUGAGGAGGUUUGUAAGAUUCAAAGGGAAGGCCCUUUGACAAAGGAAGAAGUUGAUGAAAUUCGCGACAUGUGGGCUUUUUUUGUGACAUUUGAUGGCAUCUAGGUAGAAUAUAUAAUGUAUAUGUGUUAGUUAAAUAAUGAAUGAGAUUGAGUUUUUUUUUUAUUUAUGAACAAUUAAUAUUUAGUUACUAUAUCUUUUUUAUUUUUAUUAAAUCCAUAUGUACAUUAUAUUACUUAUUUGUAAUUAGUACUAUACAUUAUUUAUGAGUUUUAUAUA
Long non-coding RNA from Chenopodium quinoa (quinoa), 1019 nucleotides. RefSeq lists it as uncharacterized. NCBI's taxonomy places the organism in Eukaryota, Viridiplantae, Streptophyta, Magnoliopsida, Caryophyllales, Amaranthaceae. The record is from RefSeq and is a predicted model, not a curated record. The transcript is spliced from 4 exons.